This 465-nucleotide ribosomal RNA is filed under the name Vreelandella stevensii. Its description in RNAcentral is "partial 16S ribosomal RNA". It matches the Rfam family "Bacterial small subunit ribosomal RNA", at positions 338 to 795 of the family's 1533-position model. The record is from RNAcentral. Lineage: Bacteria; Pseudomonadati; Pseudomonadota; Gammaproteobacteria; Oceanospirillales; Halomonadaceae.
CCUACGGGAGGCUGCAGUGGGGAAUAUUGGACAAUGGGGGCAACCCUGAUCCAGCCAUGCCGCGUGUGUGAAGAAGGCCCUCGGGUUGUAAAGCACUUUCAGUGAGGAAGAACGCCUGGUGGUUAAUACCCAUCAGGAAAGACAUCACUCACAGAAGAAGCACCGGCUAACUCCGUGCCAGCAGCCGCGGUAAUACGGAGGGUGCGAGCGUUAAUCGGAAUUACUGGGCGUAAAGCGCGCGUAGGUGGCUUGAUAAGCCGGUUGUGAAAGCCCCGGGCUCAACCUGGGAACGGCAGCCGGAACUGUCAAGCUAGAGUGCAGGAGAGGAAGGUAGAAUUCCCGGUGUAGCGGUGAAAUGCGUAGAGAUCGGGAGGAAUACCAGUGGCGAAGGCGGCCUUCUGGACUGACACUGACACUGAGGUGCGAAAGCGUGGGUAGCAAACAGGAUUAGAUACCCUGGUAGUC